GACGAACGCUGGCGGCGUGCAUAACACAUGCAAGUCACGGGGGCCAGCAAUGGCAACCGGCGAACGGGUGCGUAACACGUAAGCGACCUACCUCGAUGUGGGGCAUAGCCGGCCUAACGGCCGGGUAAUUCCGCAUGUGAUCCUUGAGGGGCAUAUCUCGGGGAUGAAACCAGUAAUGGGCAUUGAGAGGGGCUUGCGGCCUAUCAGCUUGUUGGCGGGGUAACGGCNCACCAAGGCGACGACGGGUAGCCGGCCUGAGAGGGCGACCGGCCACACUGGGACUGAGACACGGCCCAGACUCCUACGGGAGGCAGCAGUGGGGAAUAUUGCGCAAUGGGCG
This 340-nucleotide ribosomal RNA is filed under the name uncultured bacterium. Its description in RNAcentral is "bacterial SSU rRNA". It matches the Rfam family "Bacterial small subunit ribosomal RNA", at positions 28 to 377 of the family's 1533-position model. The record is from RNAcentral.